AGCCUUCACACCACACACCACUCACCUAUUUACCAUUGGACAAGUUACCGCCUCACACCACUCCCCCUCAUUCUGCCAUUAACCAUAACGCGUAACACCACUCACACUCAACAUCACCCUCACCACCACUCACACUAAACAUCCUUAUCAUAUCUCACUCUCAAGAGAAAGACCCUGAUUGAAUGGUAGGUGGCUAAAAAUAGUUAAAUCGACUUCAAAAAAGAUUAAAAUUGGCCAAUUUUAGUCUAAACUUCUGGUACCAUCUUUAUCCCAUAUAAAUUUUAUUGUUACAGUGGUUCAUUGGGUUAAUUCCUAACUACAGGUGUUGUCACUGAGAACUCUAUCUAUCUCUCACUCUCAAUGCAUCUAUACUUCUCUCUAUUUGCUAUGAGUUAAUGCCUUCUAGAUACCGCUUCCUUUUAUUUUGUUUAAACUGAAAGAUGGAAAAUUUGAAGGUGUUUUCCAAUGUAUUUUUAUCUUAGGUACCAUUUCGUAGGGUUUCUACCAUCCCAAGCCAACCACGAGCUCAAAUCGUAUGUGAUAUAUGGGAGUGAAUCCUAACUCUAUGUAUCUCAUCUCUAUGUAUUAUAUCUAUAAUAUAUUAUACAGAUUUUGAAUUUGUAGACAAUUUGGUUGUUAUACAGAUCUAGGGUUUGUUUUUAUGACUAUUUCAAGUGUUGGAGCGGAAAUGAUUAUGUUUCAAACAAAUGGAUCAUGGUGCGAAAUGGGGUAAGUUGAAGCAUUGGGUUUUAUACAUAUUGAAUUCAUUCUUGGUAUAUUUAUGACCCAUUUUGGUUCAAUAUCUACUUAGUUUAUGUAAGUUAACUUCAAGGUUCAUAUUUUGUCUAUUAUUGUUAAAUCGUGAUGACAUCUACUGAUUCUUCUUUUAAUAUCUUCCAGAUAACUGGAUAAGGAAGCUUCAUAUCCUUCUAAUCAUUUUAAUGAUCUUAAAGAGAUGUUUGUUUCAUCUCCUAAGGAAACAUGUGAACUCUCUAAAUAAAUCUUCUACAAAGUUGAAUAGUAAAUGUUCUUGAUUUAUUCUAGAGAUCUUUUUAUCUUUAUACAAUUUAAAUGCCUUGCUAAUGUUACAAAUAUUUUUGUUGUUAUUGGUAUACACUAGACUAAUUGAAAACAAGAAGAGACAGAAGCAAUGCUAGCCAAUAAGUUGGGGACCUCUGGAUGAUGACAAA
This 1190-nucleotide long non-coding RNA is filed under the name Lactuca sativa (garden lettuce). RNAcentral describes it as "long non-coding RNA (LSAT_LNC001455)". The record is from RNAcentral. Lineage: Eukaryota; Viridiplantae; Streptophyta; Magnoliopsida; Asterales; Asteraceae.